RNAcentral lists this non-coding RNA (31 nucleotides) under Rattus norvegicus (Norway rat). Lineage: Eukaryota; Metazoa; Chordata; Mammalia; Rodentia; Muridae. The record is from RNAcentral.
UACAACAAACAUAUUUGUGUAUUUAAUGCCU